RNAcentral lists this ribosomal RNA (1301 nucleotides) under metagenome. RNAcentral's name for it is "bacterial SSU rRNA". It matches the Rfam family "Bacterial small subunit ribosomal RNA", at positions 107 to 1443 of the family's 1533-position model. The record is from RNAcentral.
UGAGUAACGCGUGGGAAUCUGCCCUCAGGAGGGGGAUAACGGCCGGAAACGGCCGCUAAUACCCCAUAUGCCGAGAGGUGAAACGAGAUUCGCCUGGGGAUGAGCCCGCGUCUGAUUAGCUACUUGGUGUGGUAAUGGCGCACCAAGGCAUCGAUCAGAUGCUGGUCUGAGAGGAUGAUCAGCCACACUGGGACUGAGACACGGCCCAGACUCCUACGGGAGGCAGCAGUGGGGAAUUUUCCGCAAUGGGCGCAAGCCUGACGGAGCAACGCCGCGUGAGGGACGAAGGCCUCUGGGCUGUAAACCUCUUUUCUCAAGGAAGAAGACAUGACGGUACUUGAGGAAUAAGCCACGGCUAAUUCCGUGCCAGCAGCCGCGGUAAUACGGGAGUGGCAAGCGUUAUCCGGAAUUAUUGGGCGUAAAGCGUCCGCAGGCGGCCUUGAAAGUCUGUUGUUAAAGCGUGGAGCUCAACUCCAUUUCAGCAAUGGAAACUACAAGGCUAGAGUGUGGUAGGGGCAGAGGGAAUUCCCGGUGUAGCGGUGAAAUGCGUAGAUAUCGGGAAGAACACCAGUGGCGAAGGCGCUCUGCUGGGCCAUAACUGACGCUCAUGGACGAAAGCCAGGGGAGCGAAAGGGAUUAGAUACCCCUGUAGUCCUGGCCGUAAACGAUGAACACUAGGUGUCGGGAGAAUUAACCCUUUCGGUGUCGUAGCCAACGCGUUAAGUGUUCCGCCUGGGGAGUACGCACGCAAGUGUGAAACUCAAAGGAAUUGACGGGGGCCCGCACAAGCGGUGGAGUAUGUGGUUUAAUUCGAUGCAACGCGAAGAACCUUACCAGGGUUUGACAUCCUGCGAAUCCCUUGGAAACUUGGGAGUGCCUUCGGGAGCGCAGUGACAGGUGGUGCAUGGCUGUCGUCAGCUCGUGUCGUGAGAUGUUGGGUUAAGUCCCGCAACGAGCGCAACCCACGUCUUUAGUUGCCAGCAUUCAGUUGGGCACUCUAGAGAGACCGCCGGUGAUAAACCGGAGGAAGGUGUGGAUGACGUCAAGUCAUCAUGCCCCUUACAUCCUGGGCUACACACGUACUACAAUGCUACGGACAAAGGGCAGCAAACUCGCGAGAGCUAGCAAAUCCCAUAAACCGUGGCUCAGUUCAGAUCGUAGGCUGCAACUCGCCUACGUGAAGGAGGAAUCGCUAGUAAUCGCAGGUCAGCAUACUGCGGUGAAUACGUUCCCGGGCCUUGUACACACCGCCCGUCAAGCCAUGGAAGCCGGGGGUACCCGAAGUCAGUGACCUAACCCGC